Molecule: ribosomal RNA, 326 nt
Filed under: uncultured eukaryote
Lineage: Eukaryota
Description: partial 18S ribosomal RNA
Rfam family: Eukaryotic small subunit ribosomal RNA
Source: RNAcentral
CCCUUAGAUGUUCUGGGCUGCACGCGCGCUACACUGAUGCAUGCAACGAGUUUUCGACCUUGCCUGAAAAGGUUGGGUAAUCUGUUUAACAUGUGUCGUGAUGGGGAUAGACCAUUGCAAUUAUUGAUCUUCAACGAGGAAUUCCUAGUAAGCGCGAGUCAUCAGCUCGUGCUGAUUAUGUCCCUGCCCUUUGUACACACCGCCCGUCGCUCCUGCCGAUUGAGUGAUCCGGUGAAUGAUUCGGACCAGCGUGCUGCUCAGAUCCUGCGCAGUGUGCUGGGAAGUCUAGUGAACCUUAUCACUUAGAGGAAGGAGAAGUCGUAACA